GAUGUGAGAUACACAGUGUGUGAUAAGAAUAGUUUGCAACAAAUAACAUUGUUUAUGUGUUCCUUAUUGUAAGUAUUUGGGAAUUACGUGUUUUCUACUUUUAUAAACUGCUUUCUGUUGUUGCAAUUUUCAGAUCUUUUAAUAUCCUGAUCUCGUUGUUUUAGUUGACUUUCACACACGUUUUAAUGGUACACCUCGUUCUUCUUUAAGAAUUUUCCUUUUACCAUUACUUCACGACGUCUCAUUCUUUCUAUUUUGCACUCCACUUAUAUCGCUCGCGUUUUCCAUUUUUCUUAUCCUCUUCCUGUUCAAUCUAAUCGCUGGCUUAUGAUCGCGGACGGUUUAGGUUUGCGAUAAUUUGGUCUUUUUGCGCAUGAGGAACACGUCAGUUGCAUCCGUGCCGUGUUAUUUCGUUCACAUCCUUUUUCCACUUUUGUUUCUUCUGCUUCUUCUCAAGUUAGACGAUUUCGCUGAUGUUAAACGUUCGUCGAUCGUGUUAUUUGUAUUUUUGCAAUUCUCUUUGCUUUCCACUUUUUACAGAAUUUGUUAUUGUUUCUAUGAGCUUUUCCUUUUUCAAAAUCGCUCGACGCUGAUUUCUCUAGCUCGAUCACAGGUUUUUCGUUUUCUUACUUGUUUGAAGUGUUAUGGUAACUGUAGCUGUGUGUUACGAAGUCCACGAGGAAAACGUAGCAGCAGGAAAUUCAGGAAGAACUGCUUCGUGUUCAAUGUUUUGGAAUUAUCCUUGAACAUAGUGCAGAUAACAAUCAAUAGACAAGUAUAAAAAACCAUUGUCCAGUUAUUAGUAUUGUAUUUUAUUCUGAUUCUCCAAACAAUGAAGAAUUUUAACAUAUACUUGUUAAGUCUGGCUAUUUUACCAUGUCAGUAAAUUUCCACUUCAUUAUUGUUUAACAAAAUAACAUAAUGGCGAAUUAAAACAUAACAAUGAAUUAAUAAUCAAAAUAUUGUAAUUUCAUAGUCACAAAAUCUUUUAACUAAUCAUAGAUAGAUUUAUCUGUAUUUUAAAACAAUCCAAAUUUUGGAAAAAAAUAAAAAUUCAGUCUUUCCUUUAUCUGUCUUAGAAUAUAUUCAAAACGUGUUCAAUUUACUCGAUAAACGACACGAUUCUUGAGAUAAGGUUUUUACUGGCACGCUCUCGUCAGCAGCAUUGCGAUUGAUGAAGUCGAUUUGAAGGUUAGCUCGAUACGUGACGUGACGUCGUAAAGCAGCAGCACAAGAAAGCUGGUGUGUAUACACGGUGGAACGUAAAGGGCCGACGUUCGUGGACGAACGAAAGCGUGCAAUGAAACUGGCCGCCUACUCUCUUCGUAAGUAACGCGAAAUGUGCCGUAAAACUGGCGAAAUGGCGAAAACACGGCAACCAAUUCGACUAGCAGCGAUUCCUUACAAUUGCUUCUGCACUUUUUUGCAUUAGCCCUGAUUUAUGCUAAAUUACCUAAUUUGUAAUAUUUCGGGGCAUUAUUCAGACUUCAUUUUAUUGUAACAGACUUUGUGGUACGUCCGAUUUCUUAUUUACAAUACGAUUUCAUCACUGUGUCUAAUUUUUAAAAGUUCCAACAUCAGAUGAUCUCAAUUUUCUUCUUUAGUUAUUUGUCCUUAUUUUCUCGAUUUUUCAAGAUUUGUUCAUAUCUAUGGUUUUAUUACUUUUCUAUAACUUAAAUCGUAAUGAAAUUUUCAAUAGGUACAGAAGCCAUGACAAUUCUGUGAGAUAAGGCAAUUGUUAAAAGAUCAUAUAUAUAUAUGUAUUCUGUUGUUAGAGAAGAUUUUGUAGUAUAAAAUAGUGAUUCGAGAGAAGUUCCAAUAGUUCCAAGAUUUUUUGAUAUCUAAAGUUUCAUUACUUUUUUAUGACUUAAAUCGUAACGAAAUUUUCUGUUGAAAAUGACAACGGAGUUCGCGCCCGCCAUCCAUAUGCAGAUGCGUUAAUUACAAUAAUUAGUAACUAGAAGGUACUUCUAGAUAUAAUCGAUGGAUUUAAUCGAUAGGUUUAAGAUAUUCUUUUGUUUUUAUUCCUAGCCCAUGUAAGAAAGUGUAAUAAAGGUUUUUCAACUCAGAACGGUGUGAUAGAUUCAUCCAAAGAAUAAAAUAAUAGCUAUUGCGAUCCUACCUCUAAAUACAGAAAUAACAACAUGUUCAAUAAAUAUAUUGGAUUGGCAACUAAGUGAUUGCUAAGUGAAGCAUUACCACCUAAUGACAAAAUCCGCUAACCCAAUAGAACCCAUUCUAUAGAAUAGAACAAUUCUGUGAGAUGAGGCAAUUAUCAAAAGAUCAUAUAUACAUAUGUAUUCUGUUGUUAAAGAAGAUUCCUGUAGUAUAAAAUAGUAAUUCUAGAGAAACUCCAAUAGUUCCAUCUAUUCUUACUUUCUAUGAAAUAAGUUGUAAAGAAAUUUUUACCAUUGAAUCUAUGUCGCUUUUAUAACCUGUGGCUAUCUAGAAAAUUAUAUUCUGUUACCAAACAAGUUCCUUUUAAUAAAAGGCAGUGAUUGCAGAAAAAUUCGAAUAAUUCUACCUAUUCAAGCAUUCUCUGUUAUUAGAGGAGGGAAAAAGUGAGUACAUAUACAUACAUGACGAGGUAACGUGUUAGUUUCUAAAACCAGCACGAAUACAGAGAAUUACUACUGUCUCGUGCAGGGGCUUGCUUAUUUGUUCCGUCGUUUUUUCCUCGAGCGUGUUGGCCAAUCCUGCUAUUGAUUACAAGAGAGAAGAAAUCGAGUGGUGUAUGAUAAAUCGGGAGAGCUGACAGCCCCGUGACGCUUGUUUCUUCUCUCUUUCUCCCUUUUCUGUUGGCCUUUUUCUCCUGCUUUUCUCAUGAAGAAGGGUGGUGGUCCACACCGGGCGUCCCCAUAGAGAUUCCAUGGACCCCCGGAACGCAUUAUGGAAGCAUCGAGGGAAAAAGCACAGCUAUUGUGCUCUGCUGGCCAACCAAAAAACUUCACCAACCAAAAUCUCUCGAAAUCUCCCUCCAUUUUGCUCCGCCCAUCUCGUUAUUUCGGUUAAGAAGCUGCCUCUCCUCUGGAAUUGCGUUACAUCCGUUGGACGAAAGUUUUAUUCGACGAACGCAGAUUGAUAGAUUGUGAGACAAGACAACGUAAUGCAGAUAUACACCAGAAAGGGAUUCACUAAAAACAAAUCCAUUUGUCGUUGAAUUAAUUGUACAGUAUGCCAAGUAACAUAUCGAAUAUUCUUGCAAGUAUCGUUACCAGCAGCUGCCAACAUUUUCAAGAGGAUUCUGCUUUUCUUUCACACGUUUCACAAAAAAAGCUGGGACUGAAAGAAUGUCAAGAGGAACUGAACAAAGGUUCUGAGCUACUUUACAUAAAAACACAAUGUACUUGAAGAUACCUGUCGCUGGAGAGAAUUCAGUAAAAUAAGUAAAAAGAUAAAAAGAUACGCAAUGUUUUUCGAAUGGUAUCAGGUGGGAUAACGUCGUAUCGAUAACGCCGAUGGCAGUCACGGUUCCUUAAUCUAAAACCUUCGGCCGGAGAUCGUUAGAUUCUAUUGCCGCGUGGAAAUCGCGGAUAAGGAACGCGGGACCGGAAGCUCGUGGCGGCGAAGGGUAAAGGGGUGAGCGCGGCGAGGGCGGCUCAACGUUUCGUUUGCAUGUCCCGGUGUAAUAAGCGUCACCCCCGGUGACUUCUCGGCCGGCGUUAUUAAUUCGAUUAUAAUGAGCUAUUAAGCGAAACGCUGGUAAUCCUGACAAGCUCCAUUCAACGGGCUAGGCUUAGCUGCUCGAACCCGGCGAUUGCUUGCAACCCUGUUCGCUGUUAAGCAAAUUAUCAGAGAGGGGAACGCUUCGAGCCUCCUACUGCCUUCUUAUCGUAUUUUUACGACACCUUGAUUUCAAUUUUUAAAUCGUUUCCGCAAUGUCUCCGUUCAGGGUAAAGUAAUUCCUCGACGACGGAUUUAGGAUGUUAAGGAUGGCUGACAGGAUCGUUUUUCUGCUUAAUAAAUAAUUGAAAGACUUUUUUCGUGAACUGAGUAAAUUGCGUUUGAAAUAUUAAUUAAUCUACGUUUUUAAUAUUAGAUACCUUUCAAUUGAUAAGUGUAAUGACUCUUAAAGAUGUUCUUUUCAUAUUUAUAAAAUGAAUACAAAUUUGUAUAAUAAUUCAACUAUUCCAUUAGAAAAUGUAUAUAUCUAGGUUGCGUUUGAAAUAUUAAUUAAUCUGGCUUUUUAAUAUUAGAUACCUUUCAAUUGAUAAGUGUAAUGACUCUUGAAGAUGUUCUUUUCAUAUUUAUAAAAUGAAUACAAAUUUGUAUAAUAGUUCAACUAUUCCAUUAGAAAAUUUAUAUAUCUAUGUAGUUAUUUAUAGUAAUUUAUAUAGGUAGGACUUUUUCUCAGAUAAUUUCUCAAUUAUAAGAGUAUAAAGUAUUUCGUUACUAGACAUUGGUAUUUAUUAUUGGUACGAUACAGAAAAUAUUAUAUUAAUGUAUAUAGCGGGGAAAAUUGAUGCUGAGUAAAUGUGUAGUUUAACACUUUGACUGCCACGCCGAAAUCACAUGUUUCGCUGAGGAUAUCACGGGUAUAUUUUUAUUAUUCAAAGCAUAUAAUGGCAAAAUAAUAAUAAAUUGAUGAUGUAAGACAACAUUCUUCCCCAAUGGACCGUUUAUCUUAUUGGUGGUCACGGGUGAGCACCGUGGCGCCUUGCUAACAGUUGAUAGCGACAUAUAAUAACAAUGCUUCGUUUCUUUCAACAAACCAUUCGCAUUCGUUGUUUCGUCGUAAACAAAACGUGCAGAAUUGACUAUUUUAUUUCUUUAGUGAGGUCAGUGGGAUGUUUU
Bombus huntii is the source of this 4794-nucleotide long non-coding RNA. RefSeq lists it as uncharacterized. NCBI's taxonomy places the organism in Eukaryota, Metazoa, Arthropoda, Insecta, Hymenoptera, Apidae. The record is from RefSeq and is a predicted model, not a curated record. The transcript has 4 exons.